RNAcentral lists this ribosomal RNA (425 nucleotides) under uncultured prokaryote. Its description in RNAcentral is "bacterial SSU rRNA". It matches the Rfam family "Bacterial small subunit ribosomal RNA", at positions 355 to 774 of the family's 1533-position model. The record is from RNAcentral.
UGGGGAAUCAUGGUCAAUGGGCGAAAGCCUGAACCUGCGACGCCGCGUGAGUGAUGAAGGUCGUAAGAUCGUAAAACUCUUUUCAGGGAUCUUAAAGCCUGUCUGUCAACAACAGGCAGGUCUGACUCUCCCUGGAAGAAGCCCCAGCCAACUACGUGCCAGCAGCUGCGGUAAUACGUAGGGGGCGAGCGUUAUUCGGAAUUACUGGGUGUAAAGAGCGUGUAGGAGGCAAUACAAGUUGGAUGUAAAAGCUCUCGGCUAAACUGAGAGAGGACGUUCAAGACUGUAGAGCUAGAGGAAGGCAGAGGUAGAUGGAACUCCGGGAGUAGUGGUGAAAUGCGUAGAUAUCGGGAGGAAUAUCAGUGGCGAAGGCGCCCAUCUGGACGUUAACUGACGCUGAGACGCGAAAGCGUGGGGAGCAAACA